This 253-nucleotide ribosomal RNA is filed under the name uncultured bacterium. RNAcentral's name for it is "partial 16S ribosomal RNA". It matches the Rfam family "Bacterial small subunit ribosomal RNA", at positions 524 to 776 of the family's 1533-position model. The record is from RNAcentral.
UACAGAGGUCCCAAGCGUUGUUCGGAUUCAUUGGGCGUAAAGGGUGCGUAGGUGGCGCUGUAAGUCGGGUGUGAAAUUUCGGAGCUUAACUCCGAAACUGCAUUCGAUACUGCGGUGCUUGAGGACUGGAGAGGAGACUGGAAUUCAUGGUGUAGCAGUGAAAUGCGUAGAGAUCAUGAGGGAGACCAGUGGCGAAGGCGGGUCUCUGGACAGUUCCUGACACUGAGGCACGAAGGCCAGGGGAGCAAACGGG